RNAcentral lists this ribosomal RNA (509 nucleotides) under uncultured bacterium. RNAcentral's name for it is "bacterial SSU rRNA". It matches the Rfam family "Bacterial small subunit ribosomal RNA", at positions 28 to 517 of the family's 1533-position model. The record is from RNAcentral.
GACGAACGCUGGCGGCGUGCCUAACACAUGCAAGUCGAGCGGAGUCGAUCGACGGAAGCCUUCGGGCGGAAGAUGGUUGACUUAGCGGCGGACGGGUGAGUAACGCGUGGGCAACCUGCCUUCCACUGGGGGAUAACACAGGGAAACCUGUGCUAAUACCGCAUGACAUCACAUAGGGCAUCCUGUGUGAUCAAAGGAGUGAUCCGGUGGAAGAUGGGCCCGCGUCCGAUUAGCUAGUUGGUGAGGUAACGGCUCACCAAGGCGACGAUCGGUAGCCGGACUGAGAGGAAGGUCCCCCACAUUGGAACUGAGAUACGGUCCAAACUCCUACGGGAGGCAGCAGUGAGGAAUAUUGGUCAAUGGACAGAAGUCUGAACCAGCCAAGUCGCGUGAAGGAAGAAGGUCUUACGGAUUGUAAACUUCUUUAGCAGGGGAAUAAAAGACGAUACGAGUUAUCGUGUUGAAAGUACUUUGCGAAAAAGGAUCGGCUAACUCCGUGCCAGCAGCCG